Molecule: ribosomal RNA, 254 nt
Filed under: uncultured bacterium
Lineage: Bacteria
Description: partial 16S ribosomal RNA
Rfam family: Bacterial small subunit ribosomal RNA
Source: RNAcentral
UACGUAGGGGGCUAGCGUUGUCCGGAAUCAUUGGGCGUAAAGCGCGUGUAGGCGGUCCGGUAAGUCCGCUGUGAAAGUCGGGGGCUCAACCCUCGAAUGCCGGUGGAUACUGUCGGGCUAGAGUGCGGAAGAGGCGAGUGGAAUUCCUGGUGUAGCGGUGAAAGUGCGCAGAUAUCAGGAGGAACACCGGUGGCGAAGGCGGAUCUCUGGGCCUUACCUGACGCUCAGGUGCGAAAGCUAGGGGAGCGAACAGG